CGCCCAACAGCUAGCUCACCCCAAUAAUAUCAACAAACCACUAUUUAUACACCCAAAAGCACUUUUUAUCCAAAACAAACCAUUUUUCCCCCUGAGUAUGGGCGACAGAAAAGGACCUAUGAAGCAAUAGAGAAAGUACCGCAAGGGAAAGCUGAAAAAGAAAUGAAACAACCCAGUAAAGCAUAAAAAAGCAGAGACUACACCUCGUACCUUUUGCAUCAUGAUUUAGCAAGAUAGCACCUAAGCAAAAAGCAUUAUAGUUUAGUUUCCCGAAACUAAGUGAGCUACUCCGAGGCAGCCUAGCUAAAGGGCAACCCCGUCUCUGUGGCAAAAGAGUGGGAAGAACUCUGAGUAGAGGUGACAGACCUACCGAACUUAGUUAUAGCUGGUUGCCUGAGAAUUGAAUAGAAGUUCAGCCUUUUAAAUUCUUUCCCCACCCCCGGCCCACGCCUACCCCAGGUAACAAGAAGCUUAAAAGAGUUAGUCAAAGGGGGUACAGCCCCUUUGAUAAAAAAUACAAUUUUCCCAGCAGGAUAAAGAUCAUAUUUUAUACAAGGCAUAUGCCCUAGUGGGCCUAAAAGCAGCCACCUAAACAGAAAGCGUUAAAGCUCAAGCAUUAUUGCACUCCCUCUAAUACCGACAAUACCAUCUUAAUCCACUAAUCCUAUCAGGCUAUUCCAUUUAUCUCCAUGGAAGUAAUUAUGCUAAUAUGAGUAAUAAGAGAAGCACCGCUUCUCUCCCCGCACACAUGUACAUCGGAACGAACCCCCACCGAAAAUUAACGACCCCAAAAUCAAGAGGGUACUGGAUAAAAAAUAAAUAACCAGAAAAUCAUCCAACCAACCACCCGUUUACCCCACACUGGUGUGCCCCAUGGGAAAGACUAAAAGAAAAAGAAGGAACUCGGCAAACACGAGCCUCGCCUGUUUACCAAAAACAUCGCCUCUUGAACUAAAAACAUAAGAGGUCCCGCCUGCCCAGUGACUAUAAGUUUAACGGCCGCGGUAUUCUGACCGUGCAAAGGUAGCGCAAUCACUUGUCCUUUAAAUGAGGGCCUGUAUGAAUGGCACCACGAGGGCUCAACUGUCUCCUUUUUCCUGUCAAUGAAAUUGAUCUCCCCGUGCAGAAGCGGGGAUUAUUCCAUAAGACGAGAAGACCCUAUGGAGCUUCAGGCACCAGAACAGACUAUGUUAAACAUCCUGAGCAUAAAAGACAAAACCAAUUAGACCCUGUUCAAAUGCCUUUGGUUGGGGCGACCGCGGGGAAAUAAAAAACCCCCAUGUGGACCAGGAGCACCCUCACUCCCACAACCCAGGGCUACAGCCCUAAGUAACAGAACUUCUGACCAAAAUGAUCCGGUAAAACCGAUCAACGAACCGAGUUACCCUAGGGAUAACAGCGCAAUCCCCUUCUAGAGUCCAUAUCGACAAGGGGGUUUACGACCUCGAUGUUGGAUCAGGACAUCCUACUGGUGCAGCCGCUAUUAAGGGUUCGUUUGUUCAACGAUUAAAGUCCUACGUGAUCUGAGUUCAGACCGGAGUAAUCCAGGUCAGUUUCUAUCUAUGUUAUGAUCUUCUCUAGUACGAAAGGACCGAGAAGAAGGGGCCCCUGUUUAAAACACGCCCCACCCUUACCUAAUGAAACCAACUAAAAUAGGCAAAAGGGCAUAACCCCUAAGCUUGAGAGAACAGCCU
RNAcentral lists this ribosomal RNA (1694 nucleotides) under Uaru amphiacanthoides (uaru). Its description in RNAcentral is "16S ribosomal RNA". It matches the Rfam family "Bacterial large subunit ribosomal RNA". Lineage: Eukaryota; Metazoa; Chordata; Actinopteri; Cichliformes; Cichlidae. The record is from RNAcentral.